Long non-coding RNA from Neofelis nebulosa (Clouded leopard), 4757 nucleotides. RefSeq lists it as uncharacterized. The record is from RefSeq and is a predicted model, not a curated record. The transcript is spliced from 4 exons. NCBI's taxonomy places the organism in Eukaryota, Metazoa, Chordata, Mammalia, Carnivora, Felidae.
AUUUUCAUACACCUCUCUUUAGGACACCAAACAAGACAUGAACAUCUUCUCUGGUACUGUAGAAACUUUUCAAAACCAUCAUGUUGCUUUCGUCCUGCUUCACCUUCCCACAGGGAGAGAUUUAUCCAGCCCGAUAGAAAUAGGGUAUACAGAACAUCUCUAGCACUGUCCACCUCUAUUCUGACAAUUUCUCCUCUUCGAACUAAACAUUGAAGGCUGGCUAUGUGCACAGCCUCUGUCCAGUUUCCAGGGCUUAGGAUUACUUCACUGGAUCACUCCAUAAAUAACUAAAGUCCUACUAUGUGCACAUACUGUCGUAGGUGCUGGUGAAAGGGCAGUGAACAAAACAAGCUUAUGUAAAAUAAGUAAACAUACACUUGUACAAUGUAGAUUAUAAUAUUAAGCUUCUAGUAAGGGAGACAGGAGGUUAAAGAGGCAGUUAUUUUACCUACAGGGCCAGGGAAAGACUUGCAGACUGAGAAGGUGAUAUUUGAGCUGGUGGGAUUCAGGAAGUGAGUUCUUUGGUUAUCUGGAAGAACAUUCCCAGAAGAGUAGUCAGAGAGGGCCUUUUAAGCCAUUCUAAGGCUUUUGGUCUUUAUUCCAUGUGAGAGGGAUUGCCCUUCUAGGGUUCUGAGCAGAAUGAAGUUCUAGAAACCAAGUGAACCAAAUAUUUUAAGAAGAGAGUGAGCAAGUGUGUCUGGUGUUGGACAGGGUGAAUGGGAGGAGGCUGAGAACAGACCUUUGUAUGUAGCACCAUGGGGAGGGGUCAGUGGUGACUUCCACAGGAACUAUUCCAAUGAAGUAAUGAGGGUGAGAGCUGUUUGAAAUGGAUUCUGGAAGGAGUGGGAGGGGCUGGACAGGAGGCAGACUACGACUCUUUGAGGAGUUGGAGUUUUACUCUUAAAAGGAAGAGAAAUGGAACGGUAGCAGGAGGAGGAUGUGGGACCAGGAACAUUUUUAAAAAUUUUUUAAUGGAAGGAGUUAUUACAGCACAUUUGUGUGCUGGGAAUGAUCCAGUAGAGAGCAACAACUCAAUGAUGCAGGAGUAGGUAGACAAUUGCUGGAGCAAAGUCUUGGAGUAGGGUGAGAAGGGAUGGGCUCCAGAGCGCCAGUGGAGGGACAUGAGCAUUCACGUGACUACAGGAGGUAGGCUGCGGUGUGGGCUCAGAGGGACCUCCGUGGUCGGGAGCACAGACGUCCACUUGGUAUGGCUCAGCUGGCCUUCGCGGGCAGUUAGCAUAUUUGACAGACUAAAGUGCCAUCUGCCGUACAUCUGGUGAACCGUGUGCACCGGUGCCUCCCCCCCCCCCCCCCCCAUAGACACACACCUGUGGGCACUGUUCCCAGGGCUGUCCUUAUCCUCGCCACUUCAUGUUGGUAAAGCAAGCACUAUAUGUAUGUCAGUUCAAAUGCACUAUAUGUAUUGUGCAGUUUAAAAAAAACUUGGGCUCAGACCAGUGUAGCCACUAACGUAAGGUCACGCGUUGAUAAACAGUAGGGCAGGGGAUUGAACCCAGACAUUUUGACUGUUUCUGGGUUCUGUGGACCCAGGAAAUAGGGAAGGGGUAUUUACUUCCCAAGAUUGAGAUUCAAUGUCUUUUUCCUGCUCUUGUCUCCAGAGGAGUCCACCACGGGGAUGACUGUGUGAAUGCACAAUCCCUUCAGGUACACAAGGGUGCCUUCACCAGGUGGAGGGCAUCUCCAGAUGGGUGCAAUGUACAGAUGGCCUCGUUACCCCAUUUACUUGUGCAGAGGCUUAAAGCACCUGGAACCUGCCUCUCCCACCAUAGUCUUCGAGGGGCUGCAUUUGGACUGCACCCUCCUGCCCGUUCAUCCACCAAACCACCUUUCCGUUAACAUUCCACAGUUUCCUCUUGCUCUUUAGAUCUGGGGAGAAGCAGGGUUUUGUGCUCAUUCAAUUGCCCUGAACCAGAGGAUAAUAGAUUUUUCAACCUGGAAGGAAUCAUUCCAGGGAGACCUCUGGUUAAACUUCUUUGUAUUCACCCCAUUUUCUUUAUCCGCUCUGUUGGCAUCUCAGGCACCAGCUAACAUGUACUUCUAGAACCUUCUACCUUCAACACAAGAAAAUACACACAUCUGCUUUGUUUUCUUUUGGAAGAAGCUCUAAGAAAAAAGAUGUGAGAGUUCAGCUGGCUCCCUGCUCUUCCAAGGGCUGUCACUGCAAUCGUGUGGGGCCACUGGAGGCAGUUGUCUGAACCCCUACAGUGGGCACAAUGGGUUGAGAACAGAAUUGCCUGUGGAUCAAUCCACCACCAGGCACACGUUGUCUUCUGACCAUUUUACUCCAUCUACACCAAGAAGUUCUUACUGGCACCUCUUCAUGUGCUGCUCACUUGGCAUCCAUUGAUGCUCCACAUUUUGGACACGGAACCAUCGCUCUCACCUGGACCCUUUGGAGGGGACUAGGUUCCACGCAAGCACGUUGGAGAGGACGCACUUUCCCUUGCUGCCAUGUUUUACCCUAGCCCCUCAUUACUGUGUUCGGGAAAUUAUUCCUUUUUCCACCCCUAAUUAGGCCUCUGGGUACUUUAUGACUGCAGGAUUUCCUUCUUUUCUAUGGCUGAAGAGAGCCUAGCUUUUAAAGACUGUGUUUAUCACACAACAUGGCCCUUAAAUGGAAGCCUGCUUCAUCUGAUGUGCAACUGAAGAAUUGAAAUGCCUUUCGGUGCCAGAGGAAACACCAGCUCUAUGCAGGAUUUACUGAGAGAGGGUUUGUAAGCCGCCCGACUGGCACUGCUCCAACGGAUCUUCAAGGGACAUUUGGAUUGUGUGCAAUUCCAGCCCUUACACACUGACUUGAGAACCCUCUGCUCCUUGUUCAGUUUCCUGCUUUUAACAGAGUUAACAGGGGCGCCUGGGUGGCUCAGGUGAUUAAGCGUCUGACUUGUUAUCCACUUAGGUGGUCAUUUCCCAGUCAUGAGACUGGGCUCAUGCUGAGGGUCGGGCCUGCUUGGGAGUCUCUCCCUGCCCCCCCCCCUCCCUUGUGUGUGCAUGCACAGGUGCUCUCUCAGAAUAAAUAAACAUGUUUUAAAAAGUUAACAGAAUAUCUUGUUUGUUCUACACCAGCACAUACAAACCUAAUUUAUUCUUUUAAAUAGCUAUUCAGUUCUCUAUUGGAGGAUAUUUCGACUGUGUUCAGACUUUUGCUACUACUAUUAUAAUGCUGCAAGGAGGGAUGUGUCUUUUUAUAAUAAUACCUUUUGGGGAUCUUGAAUGACCAAGUCAUUAUAGGAGAACAAAUAGAAUAUUUUUGCUAUAUUUUUUGGAAAAUAGGGGCUUUAUUUUCUUUUCUGGCUACUUUUGUAUUGAUACUAUUUUGGUACUAAUUCCUAUGAUUUCAACUUUUCAAAAUUAAGCUUAAAAAUAUCAAUUACACCUGAAAAAUAUCCCAGUUAACAUAAUUUUAAAAUCCACUUAAUGGCAUUUGGAUCCCAAAAGACAAGUUACCAAAUAUCUUUUGUAGUUAGUGUUUAUUCAACAAAUAUUUCUUGAGUGCCUCUGUGUACCAGGGACAAUAUUAAGGGUUUUAAUAGAUUUUAUGCCUCCUAGUAUCAUUGAAAUUCUGCUGAAAUUCAAGACUAAGAACUAUGUAUAAGAUAAUUGCUCAUUUGUUCCAUUAAAUCUAUAACAAGAUAUUUGUAUAGUGGUAAGGUGGACAGGAGGGGAAAAGUAAUAUAUUUGUAUUAAAAAUUGUAUUUUAAUGUAUUUCCUAGAUAGCACUUAUAGAAACAGUGCUUUUCUUUCUUUUUCUUUUUUCUUUUCUUAAAAUGACUAUUCUGAAUGCUAUGGCUUAAUGUGAAAUGGUUUUGGAAGACUUGACUGUUCUAGAUUCUAGAAUGAAAUCUUCAAAAUAUAGCACAUUAUAAGCUAUUUUCUAUUACAGAGGUAUAAGUAAUCUCUGACUAAGAUUGUAAACCUGCUAUACAUAAAUGGAUUCCAGAUAAUUCAAUGCAGUUGAUAAUCCUUCCAUUAGUUUGAUAGAACAGAAAAUUAUUACAAUCUUUAUUUAUCCAAUUAACAUCUAAAUAUUAUAAUUAUUUUAUUUUUUACAUUUUACGUGCAUUAUACAUGCAUAUGAUAUAAAAUUUUUAAAUGGUGCAAAAGGCAUAUACAGAGCCAACCAGUGUUGCCAAUUUCUUCUGAGAUGUUCCAUGCAGAUGCAGGCAAUUAUAUAGACUUACAUUUCCACCUUCUGUCCUUCCCUCCCUCUCUUCUCUCUUUAGUAAUUGGUAUGAUCAGUCCUUCCUAAUUCUUUUUAUUUUUCCCUAAAUACUUUCUCCUGGCUCUUAUUGCUCAUUUAGUUUUAUGAUAGAACCUUAAAAUCAACUUGUCUAGAAUGAGAAAAAAAAUCCUACUAGUAAUUUUAGAAGUGGGAUGCACAAUAUUUAUAAGUUAGCUUUGAAAUAAUUGACAUCUUACAAGAUGCCGAGUCUUUUAAGCCAAAAAACAUGAUAUGCUUUCCAUUUGUUUUAGUCUUUUGAAAAAUGGCCAUUAAGCUUAUCUGGAGGACUUUUUAUCUUUUUAUAAAUUUUUUGGGUAGUGAUUCCUUCUGUUAUAGCUUCUGGUUGCUUUUUAUAUGUAUGAAAACUAUUGCUUUUCCAUAUUAUGUUUUUUACCAUACUGGAUUUUUUCAUUGUUUAUAGUAGUUGUCUAGCUGAUUGUCUUGAGUUCUCCAGCUAAGCAAGAAUUUUAUCUGCACAUACCUUCAGAACAAUAUUAAACUACGAUGAUGUGUA